GACGAACGCUGGCGGCGUGCUUAACACAUGCAAGUCGAACGGAAAGGCCCCUUUGGGGGUACUCGAGUGGCGCACGGGUGAGUAACACGUGAGUAACCUGCCCUUGACUUCGGGAUAACUUCAGGAAACUGGGGCUAAUACCGGAUAGGAAUCCUUGCUGCAUGGUGGGGGUUGGAAAGCUUCGGCGGUUUUGGAUGGACUCGCGGCUUAUCAGCUUGUUGGUGGGGUAGUGGCUUACCAAGGCUUUGACGGGUAGCCGGCCUGAGAGGGCGACCGGCCACAUUGGGACUGAGAUACGGCCCAGACUCCUACGGGAGGCAGCAGUGGGGAAUAUUGCACAAUGGGCGGAAGCCUGAUGCAGCAACGCCGCGUGCGGGAGGACGGCCUUCGGGUUGGAAACCGCUUUCAGCAGGGGCGAAGCUUGUGGUGACGGUACCUGCAGAAGAAGCACCGGCUAACUACGUG
This 465-nucleotide ribosomal RNA is filed under the name uncultured bacterium. RNAcentral's name for it is "partial 16S ribosomal RNA". It matches the Rfam family "Bacterial small subunit ribosomal RNA", at positions 28 to 507 of the family's 1533-position model. The record is from RNAcentral.